Non-coding RNA from Gossypium raimondii (Peruvian cotton), 142 nucleotides. NCBI's taxonomy places the organism in Eukaryota, Viridiplantae, Streptophyta, Magnoliopsida, Malvales, Malvaceae. The record is from Rfam.
UGUUAAAAAUUUCAUCUAUUUAUGCUGUUAAAAACUGAUGUGGCUAACAAAAUAGCCAAACAGUGAUAUGUGAUGUGCCACGUAUAUCUUGUAGUGACAUACAAAAACUAGUUUUUAACAGUAGAAUUGAUGGAAGUUACCG